This is a long non-coding RNA of Sphaeramia orbicularis (orbiculate cardinalfish), 126 nucleotides long. RefSeq lists it as uncharacterized. The record is from RefSeq and is a predicted model, not a curated record. The transcript has 3 exons. Lineage: Eukaryota; Metazoa; Chordata; Actinopteri; Kurtiformes; Apogonidae.
AUAAAAUACAACAUGUUUUGGUGCAUAUGCACUGCAGAAAUCCAAAUCUGACCAAGUGUAUUUUUCUUAAUUCUAGUCCAAAUAUCUCAUCACACUUAAAAUAAGACAGAAUCACCUUAAGAGUAA